RNAcentral lists this ribosomal RNA (468 nucleotides) under uncultured bacterium. RNAcentral's name for it is "partial 16S ribosomal RNA". It matches the Rfam family "Bacterial small subunit ribosomal RNA", at positions 28 to 507 of the family's 1533-position model. The record is from RNAcentral.
GACGAACGCUGGCGGCGUGCUUAACACAUGCAAGUCGAACGGAAAGGCCCUGCUUUUGUGGGGUGCUCGAGUGGCGAACGGGUGAGUAACACGUGAGUAACCUGCCCUUGACUUUGGGAUAACUUCAGGAAACUGGGGCUAAUACCGGAUAGGAGCUCCUGCUGCAUGGUGGGGGUUGGAAAGUUUCGGCGGUUGGGGAUGGACUCGCGGCUUAUCAGCUUGUUGGUGGGGUAGUGGCUUACCAAGGCUUUGACGGGUAGCCGGCCUGAGAGGGUGACCGGAGACAGUGGGACUGAGAGACGGCCGAGGCACCUACGGGAGGCAGACGGGGGGUGCAGGGGACCAUGGGCGGAAGCCUGAUGCAGCAACGCCGGGUGCGGGAGGAGGGCGGUCGGGUUGUAAACCGCUUCCGCCUGUGACGAAGCGCGAGUGACGGGAAUGGGUAAAGAAGCACCGGCUAACUACGUC